RNAcentral lists this unclassified non-coding RNA (380 nucleotides) under uncultured bacterium. Its description in RNAcentral is "contains 16S-23S intergenic spacer region". The record is from RNAcentral.
UCCGGCUUGACGCCGGCAGUCCCCCGAGAGUCCUCAGCUUGACCUGUUAGUAACACGGGGCAAGGGUUGCGCUCGUUGCGGGACUUAACCCAACAUCUCACGACACGAGCUGACAACAGCCAUGCAACACCUUCUCACCAGCUCUCUUGCGAGCACCCCCACAUCUCUGCGGGGUUCCGGUGGAUUUAACCCAGGUAAGGUUCUUCGCGUUGCGUCGAAUUGAACCACAUGCUCCACCGCUUGUGCGGGCCCCCGUCAAUUCCUUUGAGUUUUAGCCUUGCGGCCGUACUCCCCAGGCAGAGUGCUUAAUGCGUUAGCUGCGGCACCGCGGGGGUCAAUACCCACGACACCUAGCACUCAUCAUUUACGGCGUGGACUAC